GACAGGAUGUUCAAGAGCUGUGCAAAGAGAGAUCCAGCAGAUUGAGAAGGACCUGUGUAAACAGAGCUGUCCUUUUACCAUGUCCUUGGAAGCAUAUGAGGGGCUGAAGGAUUUAUUGAAGAAAAGGCUCCAGGAGAUGGAAAAACAAAUGGAGGAGUCCUUCAGCACAUACAGGAAUGUUUUGAUGGACCCCACUGCCCUACAGGAGGAAGACAAUGAAGGAGAGGAGGAAGUGUGGGAUGGGGAGAUCUGUCUCACCCUUGAUGACACUGACUCCUCUGAUGAUGAGAAGCAAGAUUGAUACAUCCAUGAUGAGCCCUUUUGAGCACCACUCCUCGUCCAAGACCUUUUCGGUUCUGCUCGGUUAUUCUGUAUUCAUG
Trematomus bernacchii (emerald rockcod) is the source of this 380-nucleotide long non-coding RNA. RefSeq lists it as uncharacterized. The record is from RefSeq and is a predicted model, not a curated record. The transcript has 4 exons. Lineage: Eukaryota; Metazoa; Chordata; Actinopteri; Perciformes; Nototheniidae.